AAGAUCAGUUGUACCUCUGGGCUCUGGUGAAAGACAGUCCGGUGAUUUCUCGGUGUUAGCUCAUGGAAUCGAGCAGCUUGGGCUAGAUUUGACCUUGAAAGUCAAUGGAGGAAAGGGUGAUAAGAUGGUUGGAUCCAAAAGAUCCAAAAGUGGCAGAAAUGGCUAAAAUUAUAACGAUUUCAAGUUCACAACCGGGAGAUGAGAAGGUACUAAGGUGGCGUCAAAUUUGUAUCUCAUGAUUCAGUACCGUUCAUUAAUGAAUUGAAGCAUCAUAUCGCUCGUCGGUAGUCAUCAGCUUACAUUUAACACGAAGUGUGCUGUGGUUCUGUUUACUGACAGUACUCGAAGAAGCUGUCUUGCACAAGUUGUAAUUUUAGUCCGAACUGGUUUUUAGUUUGCGGGAAUUUGUAGGGUGAAAGCAGGGAGCAAAGUUUAGGACGGAGGAAUAUACUAAAAGCUUAUAAAGCUGUUUUCCCGGUUCAGAAGAGUUAGAUAGUGAGAAAACAUCAAGUGUUUACUUUGGAGUUACCUAACCAUGUUGUGAUUGAGCUAAUGAAUUUAAUUCUGGCUAUUGAGCAACUCGAUUCAACAGUUUUUUUUUUUUUUUUUUUUUUUUUUUUU
Molecule: long non-coding RNA, 621 nt
Filed under: Physcomitrium patens
Lineage: Eukaryota; Viridiplantae; Streptophyta; Bryopsida; Funariales; Funariaceae
Description: long non-coding RNA (PPAT_LNC009491)
Source: RNAcentral